GACGAACGCUGGCGGCGUGCUUAACACAUGCAAGUCGAACGGAAAGGCCCUGCUUUUGUGGGGUGCUCGAGUGGCGAACGGGUGAGUAACACGUGAGUAACCUGCCCUUGACUUUGGGAUAACUUCAGGAAACUGGGGCUAAUACCGGAUAGGAGCUCCUGCUGCAUGGUGGGGGUUGGAAAGUUUCGGCGGUUGGGGAUGGACUCGCGGCUUAUCAGCUUGUUGGUUGGGUAGUGGCUUACCAAGGCUUUGACGGGUAGCCGGCCUGAGAGGGUGACCGGCCACAUGGGGACUGAGAUACGGCCCAGACUCCUACGGGAGGCAGCAGUGGGGAAUAUGGCACAAUGGGCGGAAGCCUGAUGCAGCAACGCCGCGGGCGGGAUGACGGCCUUCGGGUUGUAAACCGCUUUCGCCUGUGACGAAGCGUGAGUGACGGUAAUGGGUAAAGAAGCACCGGCUAACUACGUG
This 468-nucleotide ribosomal RNA is filed under the name uncultured bacterium. Its description in RNAcentral is "partial 16S ribosomal RNA". It matches the Rfam family "Bacterial small subunit ribosomal RNA", at positions 28 to 507 of the family's 1533-position model. The record is from RNAcentral.